Molecule: transfer RNA, 73 nt
Filed under: Stegodyphus mimosarum
Lineage: Eukaryota; Metazoa; Arthropoda; Arachnida; Araneae; Eresidae
Rfam family: tRNA
About the family: Transfer RNA (tRNA) molecules are approximately 80 nucleotides in length.
Source: Rfam by way of RNAcentral
GUCUUCGUGGUGUAAUUUGAAGCAUACUCGACUCUUGUACGAGAGGUCCAGGGUUCGAAUCCCGACGAGGGCA